GUCAGAGAAGAAGAAGAAGGUGUUGAAGGAGACAGUCAGAGACAAUCCCGUUAAGCACUCCUUUAAGAACAAGGGCACUACGAAGACACAGGGUUGAAGAAGACAGUCAGAGACAAUCUCGUUAAGCACUCCUUUAAGAACAAGGGCACUGCGAAGACACAGGGCCCUUCCUCUAGCGCCAAUCCUGUUGGUGCAAAAAUCCAUCGACGUCGGAGAAGCUGGAGUCGAGGGAGUCGC
Molecule: long non-coding RNA, 237 nt
Filed under: Elaeis guineensis (African oil palm)
Lineage: Eukaryota; Viridiplantae; Streptophyta; Magnoliopsida; Arecales; Arecaceae
Description: long non-coding RNA (EGUI_LNC060492)
Source: RNAcentral